CGUUUGUUUAUGUAAUAUAUACGUGUUUCUCGUUUCUCGUUUUGUUUAUAUAGAUGAGACCGUUGGUUUUCCCGUUUGAAUGGUUUUACACUAGUAAUUUUGGGGCCCUUUAUAGCUUGUUGUUCGGUGUGAGCCAAGGCUCCGUGUUGAAGGCCGUACUUUAACCUAUAAUGGUUUACUUUUUUAAAUUGUUAUUUGUAUGGAGAGUUGUCUCAUUGGCACUCACACCACAUCUUCCUAUAUCUAUGUAUAACA
RNAcentral lists this long non-coding RNA (255 nucleotides) under Mytilus galloprovincialis (Mediterranean mussel). Lineage: Eukaryota; Metazoa; Mollusca; Bivalvia; Mytilida; Mytilidae. The record is from RNAcentral.